This 253-nucleotide ribosomal RNA is filed under the name uncultured prokaryote. RNAcentral's name for it is "partial 16S ribosomal RNA". It matches the Rfam family "Bacterial small subunit ribosomal RNA", at positions 524 to 776 of the family's 1533-position model. The record is from RNAcentral.
UACGAGUGCCCCAAGCGUUAUCCGGAAUUAUUGGGCGUAAAGGGUGUGUAGGUGGCAGUGUUAGUCGCUUGUUAAAACCCGAGGCUUAACCUCGGAAGUGCGAGCGAAACGGCACAGCUAGAGGAUGCGAGGGAUCUGUGGAACUCAUGGAGUAGGGGUGAAAUCCGUUGAUAUCAUGGGGAACACCAAAAGCGAAGGCAGCAGAUUGGCGCAAUCCUGACACUGAGACACGAAAGCGUGGGUAGCGAAUGGG